UGGUACCGUCAUCAACGCCCCGUAUUAGGAGACGCCAUUUCUUUCCACCUGAAAGAGCUUUACAACCCAAGGCCUUCUUCACUCACGCGGCAUGGCUGGAUCAGGGUUGCCCCCCAUUGUCCAAAAAUUCCCC
This 133-nucleotide ribosomal RNA is filed under the name uncultured bacterium. RNAcentral's name for it is "partial 16S ribosomal RNA". The record is from RNAcentral.